Molecule: ribosomal RNA, 781 nt
Filed under: uncultured bacterium
Lineage: Bacteria
Description: bacterial SSU rRNA
Rfam family: Bacterial small subunit ribosomal RNA
Source: RNAcentral
GCGAGCGGAACCACAGAUUUACUUCGGUAAUGACGUUGGGACACGUGAGCGGCGGAUGGGUGAGUAACACGUGGGGAACCUGCCCCUAAGUCUGGGAUACCAUUUGGAAACAGGUGCUAAUACCGGAUAAUAAAGCAGAUCGCAUGAUCAGCUUUUGAAAGGCGGCGUAAGCUGUCGCUAAGGGAUGGCCCCGCGGUGCAUUAGCUAGUUGGUAAGGUAACGGCUUACCAAGGCGACGAUGCAUAGCCGAGUUGAGAGACUGAUCGGCCACAUUGGGACUGAGACACGGCCCAAACUCCUACGGGAGGCAGCAGUAGGGAAUCUUCCACAAUGGACGCAAGUCUGAUGGAGCAACGCCGCGUGAGUGAAGAAGGUUUUCGGAUCGUAAAGCUCUGUUGUUGGUGAAGAAGGAUAGAGGUAGUAACUGGCCUUUAUUUGACGGUAAUCAACCAGAAAGUCACGGCUAACUACGUGCCAGCAGCCGCGGUAAUACGUAGGUGGCAAGCGUUGUCCGGAUUUAUUGGGCGUAAAGCGAGCGCAGGCGGAAAAAUAAGUCUAAUGUGAAAGCCCUCGGCUUAACCGAGGAACUGCAUCGGAAACUGUUUUUCUUGAGUGCAGAAGAGGAGAGUGGAACUCCAUGUGUAGCGGUGGAAUGCGUAGAUAUAUGGAAGAACACCAGUGGCGAAGGCGGCUCUCUGGUCUGCAACUGACGCUGAGGCUCGAAAGCAUGGGUAGCGAACAGGAUUAGAUACCCUGGUAGUCCAUGCCGUAAACGAUGAGU